RNAcentral lists this ribosomal RNA (253 nucleotides) under uncultured bacterium. RNAcentral describes it as "partial 16S ribosomal RNA". It matches the Rfam family "Bacterial small subunit ribosomal RNA", at positions 524 to 776 of the family's 1533-position model. The record is from RNAcentral.
UACGAAGGGGGCUAGCGUUGCUCGGAAUCACUGGGCGUAAAGCGCACGUAGGCGGAUUCUUAAGUCGGUGGUGAAAUCCUGGAGCUCAACUCCAGAACUGCCUUCGAUACUGAGAGUCUUGAGUUCGGGAGAGGUGAGUGGAACUGCGAGUGUAGAGGUGAAAUUCGUAGAUAUUCGCAAGAACACCAGUGGCGAAGGCGGCUCACUGGCCCGAUACUGACGCUGAGGCACGAAAGCGUGGGGAGCAAACAGG